ACUUGAAUUGAAGAGUUUGAUCAUGGCUCAGAUUGAACGCUGGCGGCAGGCUUAACACAUGCAAGUCGAACGGUAGCAGGAGAAAGCUUGCUUUCUUGCUGACGAGUGGCGGACGGGUGAGUAAUGCUUGGGAAUCUGGCUUAUGGAGGGGGAUAACGACGGGAAACUGUCGCUAAUACCGCGUAAUAUCGAAAGAUUAAAGUGUGGGACCUUCGGGCCACAUGCCAUAGGAUGAGCCCAAGUGGGAUUAGGUAGUUGGUGGGGUAAAGGCCUACCAAGCCUGCGAUCUCUAGCUGGUCUGAGAGGAUGACCAGCCACACUGGAACUGAGACACGGUCCAGACUCCUACGGGAGGCAGCAGUGGGGAAUAUUGCGCAAUGGGGGGAACCCUGACGCAGCCAUGCCGCGUGAAUGAAAAAGGCCUUAGGGGUUGUAAAAGUCUUUCGGUAUUGAGGAAAGGUUGAUGUGUUAAUAGCACAUCAAAUUGACGUUAAAUACAGAAAAAGCCCCGGCUAACUCCGUGCCCGCACCCCCCGGUAAUACGGAGGGGGCGAGCGUUAACCCGAAAAACUGGGCCGAAAGGGCCCCCAGGGGGUUAUUAUAAUGAGGGGUGAAAACCCCCGGGGUUAACCCGGGGAAUUUGUUUUUCAAAAGGGAAAACUAAAAAAAUUUUAGGGGGGGGGGAAAAAAUUCCCCCGUGUUCCGGGUAAAAAUGCGCUAAAAAAAUUGGGGAGAAAAAAACCCCAAAGGGGAAAAAGAGCGCCCCCCCCCCCUUGGGGAAAAGUAUAA
This 789-nucleotide ribosomal RNA is filed under the name Haemophilus influenzae 6P18H1. RNAcentral describes it as "partial 16S ribosomal RNA". It matches the Rfam family "Bacterial small subunit ribosomal RNA", at positions 1 to 743 of the family's 1533-position model. The record is from RNAcentral. Lineage: Bacteria; Pseudomonadati; Pseudomonadota; Gammaproteobacteria; Pasteurellales; Pasteurellaceae.